GAUCAUGGCUCAGGACGAACGCUGGCGGCGUGCCUAAUACAUGCAAGUAGAACGCUGAAGGAGGAGCUUGCUUCUCUGGAUGAGUUGCGAACGGGUGAGUAACGCGUAGGUAACCUGCCUGGUAGCGGGGGGAUAACUAUUGGAAACGAUAGCUAAUACCGCAUAACAGUAGAUGUUGUCAUGACAUUUGUCUUAAAGUUAAGGUCGAUAGUCAUCNCUACCACAUAGACG
This 231-nucleotide ribosomal RNA is filed under the name uncultured bacterium. Its description in RNAcentral is "partial 16S ribosomal RNA". It matches the Rfam family "Bacterial small subunit ribosomal RNA", at positions 15 to 231 of the family's 1533-position model. The record is from RNAcentral.